This 558-nucleotide ribosomal RNA is filed under the name uncultured Glomus. Its description in RNAcentral is "eukaryotic LSU rRNA". The stretch from base 156 to 309 matches the Rfam family "5.8S ribosomal RNA". Lineage: Eukaryota; Fungi; Glomeromycota; Glomeromycetes; Glomerales; Glomeraceae. The record is from RNAcentral.
GGAAGUAAAAGUCGUAACAAGGUUUCCGUAGGUGAACCUGCGGAAGGAUCAUUACUGAUUUAGCGAACCGAGCGUUAGCGAGGUUUUGCGAUCACUUAUAUUUAAAACCCCACUCUUUAAUGUAUAAAAUUUGUAUUAAUGAUAAAUUAAAAGAUCACUUUCAACAACGGAUCUCUUGGCUCUCGCAUCGAUGAAGAACGUAGCGAAGUGCGAUAAGUAAUGUGAAUUGCAGUAUUCCGUGAAUCAUCGAAUCUUUGAACGCAUAUUGCACUUUCUGGUAUUCCGGAAAGUAUGCCUGUUUGAGGGUCAGUUAAAUAAAAAUCGGUGUUGUUGCUGCCUUUCGUGGUGACGCGUCGGAAUUGAGUUGUCUUACCUUCGGUUAAGUGACUUAAAAUUUUGUAUGAUUUUUGAACGUAUUUAAAUUUAUUUGUACGUUUGAGAUAUCGAAUGUUUAUUAGGUUCGGUCAUUCUAAUGACUCGCGCCUAUAGUUUUUCAUUAAAUGACCUCAAAUCAGGUAAGAAUACCCGCUGAACUUAAGCAUAUCAAUAAGCGGAGGA